AGCUCCAACUGACUUCCAACUGCCAGUAUUCUCUUGGCCUUGAGGCUUUCUCUGAAGCUUCAAAGACUACUCUGCCUAUUCGCAUGGCAGGCCAGACCAGCCAGGAAAAACACAUCUUCUUCUAUCCUUGUGGCAUUCGGCUGAUGCCUGAUGAGGAUUCCUGUCUUCUCUGGUCAGAAACAAUUUUGCACGCUGAGUGCUGAUAUUACUAUGUAUCAAAAGGAAACUGAAGCACAUGCUGUCUCAUGCUUCUUCCAUAGGAACACCACUCAGUUCAAGACCAAGGUAGCCAAUAAGAUGUAAGAGAAAGUACUUGAGUGGAGUUUCCAGGAAAGCUCUUCAAAGGAUGCUGAUGAACUCAGAGAACAUUAUUUUUUAUCUUCACUCUCUUUUCCUUGCUCCCUCUUCCUGCCUGGAAGAGAGAAGUGAUUGAUGGAACUCCAGCAAGGCAUCUAGGACCACAAGACAAUACUGAAGAUGGAAAAUGGACAUUAACAGAGAAAGAUGAUAAAAGGAACCUAAGUUCCUAAUGAUUGUGGAUCUCCCAUAUUAACUUUGGUCUCAGCUUUUUUUGGCCUGAUUUUUUUUUUUAAAUAAAACAUCAAACAACAACAGCAACCAAAGCUACAUGUAGUUUAAGCCACAGAGUUUGGGGCUUCUGGGGCUACUAUAGCCUACUGGUAUACUCUGUAUUUGAGCAUCAUUGUUUGGGAGAGGCUUAGUAGGGGCAUGUGAAGAGAUAGUUUGAAGAGGAUGGAUGGUUGGCAGAGCUUGCCCAUAGUCCUCGCCUUGACUCCAAGUCCCAGUUGGGCACUGUCCUUCCUCCCUUUUCUUGAAUUAUGAUCCAUUUGAAUUUA
This is a long non-coding RNA of Canis lupus familiaris (dog), 857 nucleotides long. RefSeq lists it as uncharacterized. The transcript is spliced from 3 exons. NCBI's taxonomy places the organism in Eukaryota, Metazoa, Chordata, Mammalia, Carnivora, Canidae. The record is from RefSeq and is a predicted model, not a curated record.